This 478-nucleotide ribosomal RNA is filed under the name uncultured bacterium. Its description in RNAcentral is "bacterial SSU rRNA". It matches the Rfam family "Bacterial small subunit ribosomal RNA", at positions 29 to 506 of the family's 1533-position model. The record is from RNAcentral.
UUGAACGCUGGCGGCAUGCCUAACACAUGCAAGUCGAACGUGAAAGGGGGCAACCCCGAGUAGAGUGGCGGACGGGUGAGUAACGCGUAGGAAUCUACCUGGUAGUGGGGGACAACCCGGCGAAAGCCGGGCUAAUACCGCAUACGAUCCACGGAUGAAAGCAGGGGACCGCAAGGCCUUGCGCUAUCAGAUGAGCCUGCGUCGGAUUAGCUAGUUGGUGAGGUAAUGGCUCACCAAGGCAACGAUCCGUAGCUGGUUUGAGAGAACGACCAGCCACACUGGGACUGAGACACGGCCCAGACUCCUACGGGAGGCAGCAGUGGGGAAUAUUGGACAAUGGGGGCAACCCUGAUCCAGCAAUGCCGCGUGUGUGAAGAAGGCCUUCGGGUUGUAAAGCACUUUCGAUGGGGACAAACGUGUCCGGCCUAAUACGCCGGGCCUUGAUGGUACCCAGAGAAGAAGCACCGGCUAACUCUGU